Molecule: ribosomal RNA, 2925 nt
Filed under: Escherichia coli
Lineage: Bacteria; Pseudomonadati; Pseudomonadota; Gammaproteobacteria; Enterobacterales; Enterobacteriaceae
Description: 23S ribosomal RNA
Rfam family: Bacterial large subunit ribosomal RNA
Source: RNAcentral
GGGUUGUGAGGUUAAGCGACUAAGCGUACACGGUGGAUGCCCUGGCAGUCAGAGGCGAUGAAGGACGUGCUAAUCUGCGAUAAGCGUCGGUAAGGUGAUAUGAACCGUUAUAACCGGCGAUUUCCGAAUGGGGAAACCCAGUGUGAUUCGUCACACUAUCAUUAACUGAAUCCAUAGGUUAAUGAGGCGAACCGGGGGAACUGAAACAUCUAAGUACCCCGAGGAAAAGAAAUCAACCGAGAUUCCCCCAGUAGCGGCGAGCGAACGGGGAGCAGCCCAGAGCCUGAAUCAGUGUGUGUGUUAGUGGAAGCGUCUGGAAAGGCGCGCGAUACAGGGUGACAGCCCCGUACACAAAAAUGCACAUACUGUGAGCUCGAUGAGUAGGGCGGGACACGUGGUAUCCUGUCUGAAUAUGGGGGGACCAUCCUCCAAGGCUAAAUACUCCUGACUGACCGAUAGUGAACCAGUACCGUGAGGGAAAGGCGAAAAGAACCCCGGCGAGGGGAGUGAAAAAGAACCUGAAACCGUGUACGUACAAGCAGUGGGAGCACGCUUAGGCGUGUGACUGCGUACCUUUUGUAUAAUGGGUCAGCGACUUAUAUUCUGUAGCAAGGUUAACCGAAUAGGGGAGCCGAAGGGAAACCGAGUCUUAACUGGGCGUUAAGUUGCAGGGUAUAGACCCGAAACCCGGUGAUCUAGCCAUGGGCAGGUUGAAGGUUGGGUAACACUAACUGGAGGACCGAACCGACUAAUGUUGAAAAAUUAGCGGAUGACUUGUGGCUGGGGGUGAAAGGCCAAUCAAACCGGGAGAUAGCUGGUUCUCCCCGAAAGCUAUUUAGGUAGCGCCUCGUGAAUUCAUCUCCGGGGGUAGAGCACUGUUUCGGCAAGGGGGUCAUCCCGACUUACCAACCCGAUGCAAACUGCGAAUACCGGAGAAUGUUAUCACGGGAGACACACGGCGGGUGCUAACGUCCGUCGUGAAGAGGGAAACAACCCAGACCGCCAGCUAAGGUCCCAAAGUCAUGGUUAAGUGGGAAACGAUGUGGGAAGGCCCAGACAGCCAGGAUGUUGGCUUAGAAGCAGCCAUCAUUUAAAGAAAGCGUAAUAGCUCACUGGUCGAGUCGGCCUGCGCGGAAGAUGUAACGGGGCUAAACCAUGCACCGAAGCUGCGGCAGCGACGCUUAUGCGUUGUUGGGUAGGGGAGCGUUCUGUAAGCCUGCGAAGGUGUGCUGUGAGGCAUGCUGGAGGUAUCAGAAGUGCGAAUGCUGACAUAAGUAACGAUAAAGCGGGUGAAAAGCCCGCUCGCCGGAAGACCAAGGGUUCCUGUCCAACGUUAAUCGGGGCAGGGUGAGUCGACCCCUAAGGCGAGGCCGAAAGGCGUAGUCGAUGGGAAACAGGUUAAUAUUCCUGUACUUGGUGUUACUGCGAAGGGGGGACGGAGAAGGCUAUGUUGGCCGGGCGACGGUUGUCCCGGUUUAAGCGUGUAGGCUGGUUUUCCAGGCAAAUCCGGAAAAUCAAGGCUGAGGCGUGAUGACGAGGCACUACGGUGCUGAAGCAACAAAUGCCCUGCUUCCAGGAAAAGCCUCUAAGCAUCAGGUAACAUCAAAUCGUACCCCAAACCGACACAGGUGGUCAGGUAGAGAAUACCAAGGCGCUUGAGAGAACUCGGGUGAAGGAACUAGGCAAAAUGGUGCCGUAACUUCGGGAGAAGGCACGCUGAUAUGUAGGUGAAGUCCCUCGCGGAUGGAGCUGAAAUCAGUCGAAGAUACCAGCUGGCUGCAACUGUUUAUUAAAAACACAGCACUGUGCAAACACGAAAGUGGACGUAUACGGUGUGACGCCUGCCCGGUGCCGGAAGGUUAAUUGAUGGGGUUAGCGCAAGCGAAGCUCUUGAUCGAAGCCCCGGUAAACGGCGGCCGUAACUAUAACGGUCCUAAGGUAGCGAAAUUCCUUGUCGGGUAAGUUCCGACCUGCACGAAUGGCGUAAUGAUGGCCAGGCUGUCUCCACCCGAGACUCAGUGAAAUUGAACUCGCUGUGAAGAUGCAGUGUACCCGCGGCAAGACGGAAAGACCCCGUGAACCUUUACUAUAGCUUGACACUGAACAUUGAGCCUUGAUGUGUAGGAUAGGUGGGAGGCUUUGAAGUGUGGACGCCAGUCUGCAUGGAGCCGACCUUGAAAUACCACCCUUUAAUGUUUGAUGUUCUAACGUGGACCCGUAAUCCGGGUUGCGGACAGUGUCUGGUGGGUAGUUUGACUGGGGCGGUCUCCUCCUAAAGAGUAACGGAGGAGCACGAAGGUUGGCUAAUCCUGGUCGGACAUCAGGAGGUUAGUGCAAUGGCAUAAGCCAGCUUGACUGCGAGCGUGACGGCGCGAGCAGGUGCGAAAGCAGGUCAUAGUGAUCCGGUGGUUCUGAAUGGAAGGGCCAUCGCUCAACGGAUAAAAGGUACUCCGGGGAUAACAGGCUGAUACCGCCCAAGAGUUCAUAUCGACGGCGGUGUUUGGCACCUCGAUGUCGGCUCAUCACAUCCUGGGGCUGAAGUAGGUCCCAAGGGUAUGGCUGUUCGCCAUUUAAAGUGGUACGCGAGCUGGGUUUAGAACGUCGUGAGACAGUUCGGUCCCUAUCUGCCGUGGGCGCUGGAGAACUGAGGGGGGCUGCUCCUAGUACGAGAGGACCGGAGUGGACGCAUCACUGGUGUUCGGGUUGUCAUGCCAAUGGCACUGCCCGGUAGCUAAAUGCGGAAGAGAUAAGUGCUGAAAGCAUCUAAGCACGAAACUUGCCCCGAGAUGAGUUCUCCCUGACCCUUUAAGGGUCCUGAAGGAACGUUGAAGACGACGACGUUGAUAGGCCGGGUGUGUAAGCGCAGCGAUGCGUUGAGCUAACCGGUACUAAUGAACCGUGAGGCUUAACCUUACAACGCCGAAG